Molecule: long non-coding RNA, 1034 nt
Organism: Triticum aestivum (bread wheat)
Lineage: Eukaryota; Viridiplantae; Streptophyta; Magnoliopsida; Poales; Poaceae
Exons: 3
Source: RefSeq, a predicted model, not a curated record
AUAAAGAUUAAUUUUUGGACUGUGAAACUAAAUUGGACUGCUACUUUUAAACCGUACAUCAAAAUAGUGCAAAUAGAUAGUCUAUAGAAAGCAUGGGACGUAUCUCUCCUUUUUUUUGCGAUUGAUCUCCACAUUAUGUUUGGAGUCCAAGUCAAAAUUAUGCAGUUUUUGAUAGAGGAUUUGGAAAGACCGAAUCUGUUUAGUAGGUGGAUUACCCAAAACAGUUGACUUCAUCCAACCCAACCUCACAUCACUGUGUAAAGUUUGUAGCACUUAUUUUAUAUGCAGAGCACUUGUGAACUAGGAUUUUGACCAAAAGAUUUCGAGUGUUUUAUGUGAGCUUGCAUUGCAGGGAUACUUGAAGCUAGGGCAAUCCAAGUAAGAUAGCUUCAUCCUCAGGCAACAGGUUUAUGUUAUCUUAUCAUGGAGUCAUUUUUAAGUUUGUGCCCAACGCCUUCAUCCUUAGAAUGGCUGCCCAGAUGGCAAGCCACCGUACUCAGGCGACUGCCGCGCUAGCAGGGUGCUCCAACUUUUGAUGCUGGCGAAGCUUUUGGAAUGAUGGCUACAUAAUUUGUUAGUCUCCGUUGGAAGCUUAAUUAAACUGAGCUUCUCUGAAGGUUCAGAUGUGUGGCAAAGGAUUUCAAUUUUCCUGUUUACACAAAGGAAACUUGAGGAAGGUUCAGAUUUUUCAUGCUCGGUGCUGUGCUCUCAAGGUUACAUAGACAAAAAUGCCUCCUAUUUACACAACGGCAACCCGACGAAGGUUCAGAUUUCUCAUGACUGGUUCAAUGGGUAUUUCAUGCCUGUGCCAUCUUAAUUAUUAGGAAAAUGUAGUUUGUUUUAUAGCUGAUGAUGCUCGAUGCUUUUUACCUCAGUUUAGUAAAUGCUCAGUUUUAGCUCAUAAACUACAUGGCAAAUAGGAUGACGGGGCGGGGCGGGAGGCGGGGAAAGCCGUCCAUGGCGAUCCUGGUGGCGUUUCUAAUGGCGCCAUUGGCACUGCCGCUCCUCAUGGUGCCCGACACGCUCUCUAUGCC